This is a long non-coding RNA of Triplophysa dalaica, 602 nucleotides long. RefSeq lists it as uncharacterized. NCBI's taxonomy places the organism in Eukaryota, Metazoa, Chordata, Actinopteri, Cypriniformes, Nemacheilidae. The record is from RefSeq and is a predicted model, not a curated record. The transcript has 3 exons.
CUUCAUGAGCAUGAUGGCCGUCUUCAAUCCUUAAUGGGGUAUACUAGAUGUUUGCUUUGUUUUUAGCAACACCUGACAAAAAGGUACUUUGACUUAUCCACAUUCAUCUGGUUCUAAAUGUACUGGUUAAUUCACAACGGUAACUGAAGAAAACAUAUUUUUCUGUUGAAACUAUGCUGGACGGAUACAAUCAUAUUGUUUGUUUGCAUUCAAAACCAUUUGGCUGUAACAUCAACAGCAUUUUAUCAGGAAUACUUUGUUUACUGACUCUCUGAGUUGCUUUGUCAGAUGGAACUCCUGGUGUUGGAUUGGCACAAUAAGCUUUGGGCUGGUAAUUAAAAAAAUACAUUUAUAAGACGCAAUGGAGAGCAAAUUGAAACUUCUAGGCCAUCGGAGUUCAGCUUUACUUCUGCAGCGACCCAGCAAAGGCGAGACAUACUUUCACAUGUUCAGAGCGGCACAUGUCCCUCAUCAUGUACCACAAGUAACAUAAAACACCCUCAUUAUAUUUGACAAUGGUUUGUACGCCAGGUAAUUCCCUGAGGUGAGCUGGGAUUAAAGUGCAAGCGAUUCAACUAUUUCAUCUUUAUGGAUUUGUAACA